This is a long non-coding RNA of Saccostrea cuccullata (small rock oyster), 244 nucleotides long. RefSeq lists it as uncharacterized. The transcript is spliced from 3 exons. NCBI's taxonomy places the organism in Eukaryota, Metazoa, Mollusca, Bivalvia, Ostreida, Ostreidae. The record is from RefSeq and is a predicted model, not a curated record.
CAUGAUGAGUUACAAGUUGAAGAUAAUAGGUGUUAUUAUUCUGUUUCUGCUGGAUGUGUUGUUUAAAAUUAUUGAAGUACAGGCUCAAAUGAAAGGAGAUCCAGGCGGUUGAGGGCGUGGGGUUUGGUGCUGUCGUUGGAAUUCAGUAGAAUGCUUGGAAUGGUGCAGUUACUAGCGAUGGUGUUUUCCACUAUUAGAAACCAAACAGAAAGAACGUAUAUUGACCAUUACUGAAUAAACAGUA